GCCUUCGUGGUGCAAUGGUUAGCACAAUCGGCGCGUAUGCGAGAGGUCUAGGUUCGAGUCCUGGCGAGGGCA
This 72-nucleotide transfer RNA is filed under the name Stegodyphus mimosarum. It matches the Rfam family "tRNA". From Rfam's summary of the family: Transfer RNA (tRNA) molecules are approximately 80 nucleotides in length. Their secondary structure includes four short double-helical elements and three loops (D, anti-codon, and T loops). The record is from Rfam by way of RNAcentral. Lineage: Eukaryota; Metazoa; Arthropoda; Arachnida; Araneae; Eresidae.